This 353-nucleotide unclassified non-coding RNA is filed under the name soil metagenome. RNAcentral describes it as "partial contains 5.8S ribosomal RNA, internal transcribed spacer 2, and large subunit ribosomal RNA". The stretch from base 1 to 120 matches the Rfam family "5.8S ribosomal RNA", at positions 35 to 154 of the family's 154-position model. The record is from RNAcentral.
GAUGAAGAACGUAGCGAAAUGCGAUAAGUAAUGUGAAUUGCAGAAUUCAGUGAAUCAUCGAAUCUUUGAACGCACAUUGCGCCCGCCAGUAUUCUGGCGGGCAUGCCUGUUCGAGCGUCAUUACAGCCCUCAGGCCCCCGGGCCUGGCGUUGGGGAUCGGCGGAAGCCCCCUGCGGGCACAACGCCGUCCCCCAAAUACAGUGGCGGUCCCGCCGCAGCUUCCAUUGCGUAGUAGCUAACACCUCGCAACUGGAGAGCGGCGCGGCCACGCCGUAAAACACCCAACUUCUGAAUGUUGACCUCGAAUCAGGUAGGAAUACCCGCUGAACUUAAGCAUAUCAAUAAGCGGAGGA